This 492-nucleotide ribosomal RNA is filed under the name uncultured bacterium. RNAcentral's name for it is "partial 16S ribosomal RNA". It matches the Rfam family "Bacterial small subunit ribosomal RNA", at positions 29 to 507 of the family's 1533-position model. The record is from RNAcentral.
AGUGAACGCUGGCGGUAGGCCUAACACAUGCAAGUCGAACGGCAGCACAGUAAGAGCUUGCUCUUACGGGUGGCGAGUGGCGGACGGGUGAGGAAUACAUCGGAAUCUACUUUUUCGUGGGGGAUAACGUAGGGAAACUUACGCUAAUACCGCAUACGACCUACGGGUGAAAGCAGGGGAUCUUCGGACCUUGCGCGAUUGAAUGAGCCGAUGUCGGAUUAGCUAGUUGGCGGGGUAAAGGCCCACCAAGGCGACGAUCCGUAGCUGGCCUGAGAGGAUGAUCAGCCACACUGGAACUGAGACACGGUCCAGACUCCUACGGGAGGCAGCAGUGGGGAAUAUUGGACAAUGGGCGCAAGCCUGAUCCGGCCAUACCGCGUGGGUGAAGAAGGCCUUCGGGUUGUAAAGCCCUUUUGUUGGGAAGGAAAAGCAGCAGGUUAAUACCCCGCUGUUCUGACGGUACCCAAAGAAUAAGCACCGGCUAACUUCGUG